RNAcentral lists this ribosomal RNA (113 nucleotides) under Nannospalax galili (Upper Galilee mountains blind mole rat). The record is from RNAcentral. Lineage: Eukaryota; Metazoa; Chordata; Mammalia; Rodentia; Spalacidae.
AUCAGUGUGACCAUACCACCUUGAACAUGCCUCUAACCUUAGCAGCUAGGCAAGAUGGGGCUUCAUUAGUACUUGGAUGGAGACUCCUGUGAUUUUGAGGUCAGGGAUUGAUU